Molecule: non-coding RNA, 71 nt
Organism: Podarcis lilfordi (Lilford's wall lizard)
Lineage: Eukaryota; Metazoa; Chordata; Lepidosauria; Squamata; Lacertidae
Source: the annotation of a GenBank genome assembly
AGAGGUAUGGUUCAGUAGUAAAACACAUGUUUGCAUACAAAAGGUACCAGGUUCAAUCCCUGGCAUCUCCA